Molecule: non-coding RNA, 57 nt
Filed under: Methylobrevis pamukkalensis
Lineage: Bacteria; Pseudomonadati; Pseudomonadota; Alphaproteobacteria; Hyphomicrobiales; Pleomorphomonadaceae
Description: sul1 RNA
Rfam family: sul1 RNA
Source: Rfam by way of RNAcentral
CCUGGACCUGGAAGCGAUUCCGGGUGGCUCUUUCGGCCGCCGAUCCGCCGGACAACC